RNAcentral lists this small nuclear RNA (69 nucleotides) under Suricata suricatta (meerkat). The record is from RNAcentral. Lineage: Eukaryota; Metazoa; Chordata; Mammalia; Carnivora; Herpestidae.
GUGCUUGCUCUGGCAGCACAUACACUAAAAUUGGAAUGAUACAGAGCAUGGCCCCUGUGUAAGGAUGAC